CCGACCUUAGCUCAGUUGGUAGAGCGGAGGACUGUAGUGGGAAUAAUGACCUUUAGCCAUCCUUAGGUCGCUGGUUCGAAUCCGGCAGGUCGGA
RNAcentral lists this transfer RNA (94 nucleotides) under Nelumbo nucifera (sacred lotus). It matches the Rfam family "tRNA". From Rfam's summary of the family: Transfer RNA (tRNA) molecules are approximately 80 nucleotides in length. Their secondary structure includes four short double-helical elements and three loops (D, anti-codon, and T loops). Lineage: Eukaryota; Viridiplantae; Streptophyta; Magnoliopsida; Proteales; Nelumbonaceae. The record is from Rfam by way of RNAcentral.